This is a long non-coding RNA of Microplitis demolitor, 2017 nucleotides long. RefSeq lists it as uncharacterized. The transcript is spliced from 6 exons. Lineage: Eukaryota; Metazoa; Arthropoda; Insecta; Hymenoptera; Braconidae. The record is from RefSeq and is a predicted model, not a curated record.
UAAAACAUAAACACGUUCAAAAAACUUGUCGUGUCUUUAAAAAAGAACAGUCGACGUAAAUAAUAUAAUUAAUUAUUAUUCUUACAUUAUUAAUCUAUUAUAUUCAAAUUAAUAAACUGAUUUGAGUGCUAAUUAAAUCGCUCGUAGCAAGGAUAUUAAGAUGAGAACCUAAAUAGCUACAUUAGUCGCUGUUCUGUUGACAUUCUAACCUAAUUUCAUUUGUCAAAAUAUAUAAAUUGAAUGUAUUCACAAUAAGACCGCAAUGUACACAAAAAAAGUCAGAUGGUGAUCAAUAGAUGUUUUUUCUAAAUGUACGUUAAUUUUUACAUUGAUCAUUAUUAAUUCUAAAUCAUGAAUUUAAUAUGAUUUACUUAAUGAACAAGUUUGAAUCCUAAUUAAAUUGCUAGUAACAAUAUUAUAAUUAAGAUGAGAACCGGAAAAGCAACAGAAGCCACAGUUCUGUCAAUGAUCUAACCAAAUUUUAUUCGUGCACUAAAAUAAACUGAACUUAUUCAAAAAAUGACAGGAGUAAGAAUGUGAAAAAAUGUAUCCUUAAUCAAUGGAUAUUUGUUUCAAAUGUACAUCAAUUUGUACGUUGCCCACCAAAUUGACGGAAUUUCUACCUAUGGCACAAGAAAGAGGGUAAUAACUAAUGAAUUAAGGAAGCUAAAAUUUUAUUGUGAUUUCGAUUAUCAGUGGAUUUCAACGAUGAAAACUCUCUUUCUGAUGUCUUGACUGGAAGGAAGGAUGGAAGCAAACAACACUGACUUACCUCGACGGACUGCUAGCUGUCAUCCUACCAGCUGAUCAUCUGGCAUCGUUCGGCAGGGAAAUAAAGUUAUUUCCCUGUUGAGGUUUGUUAAUGUUUAGGUAUAUGAUUUGGAUGAUUUUUUUCCUAUAUAAUUUAUGACGUGUCUAAUCAAGAGUCCAAUGGAAUCUAUUGACAUGACUGGCCUACCAGGACCAGAAUAAUUUUGAGGACAGUGAUGUUGCUGAACAUCAAGGACAAGGUGAUGCAGAUCCAAGGACACACCGCUGCUUUAAUUUUUUUUUCUGUUUCAGAUCCAGUCAAGAAGAAUAAGGAUAUCCAUGGCUGCCAAGGAAUACCGAGACCAGGAGAAGGAGGACCAGGACCAAGAAGAAGAUGAAUUAUUUAUUUAAUUAUUUAUUUUUAUUAUUUAUUAUAUAUUUUUAUUUUUUUAUUUAAUUUUAGCCAAAUUGUAAUUAGUUUUAAAUACUUAUUUUGUUAAGGUGUGAGUGUGAUGGAUGCUGUAAGAAUGAUUUAUAAUUUAUUAAUUUAAUUUAUAUUUUUAUUUUGUAAGAAUGUGUACGAGUGGCAUGUUUUUAUUGCAUGGCUUGUGCUUGCUUGUUUUUUUUUUAUUUUUUUCGGGUUUGAUCGCAUGGUUUUGUUUGUUUAUAUUUAAUUUAAUUUUAUUCCUCAUUCUUCCCUUCCCUUUUAAUUUUAAGUGUGUUUUUUUUAUUCGGGUUUGACUGCAUGGUUUGGUUUGCUUUUAUUUAAUUUACUUUUUCCUUUUUUUAUUCCCGUUCCCUCUUAAUUUUAAGUCUGUUUCAUUAUUAUUAAAUUUAAAUUUAAGAGUGUAAUCAGUGUGUGUGUGAUUUUGUUUAUUGGGAUUUCCAGGCACGGAUACUAAUAGUAAGUUUUAAUUUUAAGAAAUUUUUAUUUAAUUUUAUAUUUAUAUAUAUUGAAUUGUAUUUUUUAUGUAUUUAUUUUAUAAUUGUUUAAUGUAUAAUAUUUUGUAUUUGUAUUUUAUUUAGCUUUUUUUUGGUCACCAAUCGAGUGAUCACUGUGUUGGUCGGGUUUUUUCACUGGUAAAAACCUCCGAUAUAAACCGAUAGAUUCCGGGUCUAUCGGAUUUUUAUCGGAGUAUUUUAUCGGUGUCGAGGUUUCCCAAACGGGCUAUUUUCUUUCUUCCAAAAGAAAAUAGCUUAGACCAGUACAAUUGUAUUUUUAAACAAAUACAAUUGUAGGUGAAUGCGCACAGUAUAGGAAGUCGGU